Molecule: unclassified non-coding RNA, 343 nt
Filed under: soil metagenome
Description: partial contains 5.8S ribosomal RNA, internal transcribed spacer 2, and large subunit ribosomal RNA
Rfam family: 5.8S ribosomal RNA (bases 1-120)
Source: RNAcentral
GAUGAAGAACGUAGCGAAAUGCGAUAAGUAAUGUGAAUUGCAGAAUUCAGUGAAUCAUCGAAUCUUUGAACGCACAUUGCGCCCGCUAGUAUUCUGGCGGGCAUGCCUGUCCGAGCGUCAUUUCAACCCUCAAGCCCCCGGGCUUGGUGUUGGGGAUCGGCGAGCCUCCGCGCCCGCCGUCCCCUAAAUCUAGUGGCGGUCUCGCUGUAGCUUCCUCUGCGUAGUAGCACACCUCGCACUGGGAAACAGCGCAGCCACGCCGUUAAACCCCCAACUUCUGAACGUUUGACCUCGGAUCAGGUAGGAAUACCCGCUGAACUUAAGCAUAUCAAUAAGCGGAGGA